CCCAUUCACGUUUCAGGGCCUGAAGAACCAGCCCCGGGUGAAGCUGAACAUUGUGAGGUGUCCUCCAGUGACCACCGUGUUGAUCAGGAGACCGGACCUGCGCUACCAGCUGGGUUUCAGCGUCCAGAACGGAAUCAUCUGCAGCCUCAUGCGAGGGGGGAUAGCAGAGAGAGGUGGCGUCCGCGUGGGACACCGGAUCAUUGAGAUCAACGGGCAGAGUGUGGUGGCCACCCCACACGAGAAGAUCGUCCACAUCCUCUCCAAUGCGGUGGGGGAGAUCCACAUGAAGACGAUGCCGGCGGCCAUGUACAGACUGCUGACGGCCCAGGAGCAGCCCGUUUACAUCUGAGGCCGCGCGCCCGCCUGGCCGCUUGCAUGGAGGCCUGUCCUCACUCGUGGUGUGUUUCUCGUGCUGCAUCUGUGUGCCCACCGAGACCCUUCCCUCUCACGCCCAGCACCGGUUCUCCACCGAAGAGAAGAAGCCGCAGACCUCUUUGCUCUCUCUCUCUCCAGUUUGCAGGGUUUUUUUCUUUUGUUUUUUUUUUUUUUUUUUAACGCCAGGGACAUUUUGUCUGCGCUCGCUUGAGGAUGGAGAGCAGCCGCCAGCCCCCGGGUCCCGGCCCAGGCCGGCACCAUCCCGAAGGGCCCUCGGGGGUCCCCAGGGGGGCCAUCACUGCUCAAGGGCAGUGAGUCCGGCCGCAGCUCCCGGCGCUCCGUCGGGCCAACAGCAGGCACCAGCUGCGUCUUUAAGGGGUUGCCCUGCCCACCGGGGACCAGGGGCGCCACACAGCUCUGCCCAGAAUUUCUGAGCCAACCUUAGGCCUCUUCUAGAGCUAGUUUUAGUUUCCACAUCGUUUUUUUUAACGUGAGCCUUCUCACCCAAGGGUCGACAGGGAGCUGCCUGGGACCAGGGCACCAUCUCAUUGCAGAGAGCUCAGCGGUUCCUGGGGCGGCCUCGGCCUCCCUGGUCGUCCCGAGGUUACCAGCCAUCAGAUAGACACAGCAGGGACUCCGGUCCCCCUUCUCUGCCGCACACGAUCACCCUCGCUGCCUCCCACCACCAGUGAGGCACACAGAGCCCCUGGAAAGCCCACACCGCCACUCUGUGAGGCCCCUGCCCCUGGCCGGUGGGGCCUGCAGGGGCUGCGUGGCCCUGUCCUGAGAGAGACGCCCCCUCCGGGGCUGAGGCCUGGCUCUGCCGGCUCGGCCUUGGUUCAGAGAGCACUAGUGGGCUCCCCCGAGCCCCCACUCCUCACCCGCGCGGGGAGUCUGGGAAGGAUGGACUGCUCCCCUGGAGGAAGAGCGCCUGGGUGCCCAAGGCAGGACCAGCUUUCUCCUCUGCUCAGGGCUGAGGCAGCACAUGACAUUUGAAAGUCCAGCAUAGUAAUAAACCACAAAACUAAGGGGACAGGAGUGACCCCACACUAUGCCUAAGAAUCCCCAAGUGUGUUCUAGAAACAUCAUCUCGCUGCCUCGUGGGUCUGAGAGAGCUUUGAGUGUUCCCAUCAGGUGCCUCAUUUCGUGGGUUCUGUCUCGGUUCAGUGCGGGUGUUUCCGUGAUAUUAUUCUGAGCCAGUUUUCACUUAUUCUUGUCCAAAGAGCAUUUUGUUUUCAUGUAGGUGGGUGUGGGUCGGUUUGAUUUUCGUUUUGUUUCGUUCAUGACCCCAGCAGAGACGGGGGAAGAGAAACUAAUAUAUUUUGUGAUAUUAAUAGAGUCCCUGUUCUCUGCACCGGGGAUAUUUAUGUUGUGUCUGUGGAAAUAGGAAUUCGGUGAGCACAUGUUGGCUAGUAUGUAUUUAUAUGUCAAAUGGAGGGAUUUCGGGGAGGGAGGAAAGGGAGUAUAAAAAAACAGGAACAAAAGACCGCCCCCCAAGUGCCGAGUGGGCAGUUGCCCUGGGAUUUCUGUACCUCCUGUUUUCUGCUGAAAGGAGAGCUAAAUGUUCCAAGGGUGUCAGUAGCUGACCCUUCAGUUUGACGAUAGUACAAGCCCUAAGGAAGAUGGGUCACUGCUGCCCGAACAUCCUCUCUGGGAAGGGGCUGCCCCCUCUCCAGGGGUGCUGGGGUGGACGGUCCAGGACUCCUGGACUUUCUGAGGAUGCUCAGCCCCAACGGCCGGCUCACCACACCUGUGAGCAGCCAGAAUCAUGGCUCCAGAUUCUAUUAAGUCCUGAAGAGUCAUGCAUUGGUCCUUCCUCUGCCAAAAAGAGUGGGUAAAAUAGGAACAAAGCAUUAUUGGUAUUUUAGGCACCAGGAGCCUUGGCAAAUCAUGGAGGGGCUCAGGCCUGUCUGUCUGCUGCCAGAGCACCUGGACAGAGGCCUGUCCACGAUGGGCCGGCAGAUGGGGACCCCUCCCCAGCUCAGCACUGUGCAGCCUCCCCAUAAUUACAAGUAAGUAUCUUCACCCAAAGGAGAGAGGAGAGCAAGCAUCGAUUCUGUUGCUAUCGCACAAAAAUCCUGGAACAUUUGGCAACGUUUGCCAGAGAAGCCAAUCUGGUGAGCUCUCCGGGAAGACCAACAUAUUUUAGCCUAAGAGGAAGGUUCUUUAUCCACCGCUCACCUUCUUCAGUCCAAGCGGCUCCUUACACCCCGAUAGCUCAUGUUCCUGGAGCUCGGUCCGGGUUUGGCUGACUGGAGUCCGUUCCUUCCCCUGCUCCCAUCGGAUGGAGGGGCCUCACCCACCUUUGGUUAACCAAGGAGGCGGGGCCUUAAGUGUCAGUAACUCGGUUUGGGAAAAUCCCGUGGGACGAGGUGGUCACUUUCUUUCUGGCAUCCCAAUAUAUAUAGUUAUAUAUGUAAAUACCUGAACACCCCCAUCUCACGGGGAAGACUGUACAGAGCAGCCUUCCCAAACAGGGCCCAGGCAAAAAGCCACUCUUGCUGCUUGGCUGGGACAUGCUGGUGACUCAGCUUUGGGGACAGAUUCUCAGAUUCGUCUGCCCCUCCUGGUCCGGCCAGGAUGCACCAGAAAGCACCCUGUCUCUGCCUUCUCACCUGGGAGCAUUUCAGGGAGCCACCAUCAGCCUUGGGUUCGCGAGAGGAGAAAACCCCCAGAGACUGAGACCCGGCGUCCGCUCCCUCACCAGAGUGGGCCCCUCGGGGCCCCCUGAGCCUGCCGCGGGCCCCCUGCCCCCGAGCCCGCCACGGGGCACCGGACGCCAAGCCUCCAUGCACAGGUCUGCUGUCUGGACACUGCCCGUCCACACCGGCCUCAGAGAGUCCCAGAGUAACCUACUACCUCCCCCAUCGCUCCCGCCGCCCCCCAGGCCCCCAUUCGCACUCCACACCCCCAUCUGCACGCUGAGGAAACUCAUCCACGAGCCCCUCCUGGGUCCCUCGACCCAGUGGUGUGGCUCUUACCACUGUUUACAACCAAGGGCCACCUCCUUUCAGAUAUGUUUACUCUCCCACUGACACGGCCACUGGCUGGUUUGAGUUUCGCGUCCGUCGGCUCCUUCCCCGGUUCGGGCCAACUAGGGCACACGACCCGAUUCUUUGCCCCCCUCCAUCAAGGCAGUGCGUGCGUGAGGACCACGUGGGAAGGAAAUUUCUUGUACAUAGCACAGCCCCUGGAGUAUGAACUUGUACUAUUGUUCUGUAAAGAGGGUGAAAUAGAGCUUAUUGUAAAGCUUGGGACAAGUAGAGUAUUGUAUUUGUAACAAUAUCAUUCUUUGUAUACACAAAACUCAAUGAUCUCUAUAUAUAAAUAUAAAUUAUAUAAAUAAAAUAUAUACACACGUGAGCCUGGAAUGUUGGUGCCACACACCCACUGAAUGUACUUCCUCCGGCAGCCUGGUCCCUGGGCCCGGCCGCCCUCCCCUCCUCUGUACUGUUUUGGGGGUUGUGAUGUAUUCGGUGUGUUCUCUUCCUUUAUUUAACUGAACGCUAACGUCUGUAAGAGUUGCUGCAACAAUAAAUAAGAACUUCAUCUCUUG
Molecule: non-coding RNA, 3931 nt
Organism: Leptonychotes weddellii (Weddell seal)
Lineage: Eukaryota; Metazoa; Chordata; Mammalia; Carnivora; Phocidae
Source: RefSeq, a predicted model, not a curated record